RNAcentral lists this long non-coding RNA (3112 nucleotides) under Sus scrofa (pig). RNAcentral describes it as "lncRNA (ENSSSCG00025058875.1)". Lineage: Eukaryota; Metazoa; Chordata; Mammalia; Artiodactyla; Suidae. The record is from RNAcentral.
GAACUAAACUGCCAACAUCCCAGGAACUCUCUCCCAGGAACUCUUAUCGAGUUUGCCUCCCUUCUCUUACUGACUGUAAAACAAAGAAAUCUGUCUUCAGUUCCAUGAUGUCCCACAUGUCACUGUGACUAAUCCCCAGCCAUUUUUAUUUACAGAGUUCAGAAUGAGUUUCUAUGACAAUCCCAUGCCAUUCUCAAUGUUACACACACAUUUUCUGCCUUUUGAAAAUAAUUACAGAACAAAUCGUUUGUUCUGCGCGCCAUACGAAGAAAAGCACAUAUAUUAAUGGCUGUAGAAAGAUUUCAAUUUCAGAUUAAACUGCAAGCCAGUAUAACAGAGAACAAAUGUUUUCUAAUAUCUGGGGACCCCAGAUUUUUGUUGUUGUUGCUGUUGUUGCUGUGUGCAUUCCAUGUAUCAGACAUGUAAUACAGUUCUUCUCCUUCUACCACCACCUACACACACUUUCCCAGAAGACCCUCACAACUGUCCUAUAACCACACCGACACACACUCACACAUACAGGACCCCUUAAUACAUGUUUUCUUUUCACAAGAGAAAAAAAGCAAAGCAGCUGGAGACCUUGGACAACUGAAAAUCCACUUCCAUGUCAAAGUCUCAAGGUUGCUAACUUUCUUCGGAGAUGGAGCAAAACAGAGAAUUUAGGUGGCUCGGCUACUGGGACUUGGCUGCUUUUUAGUAACUACUACCAACUGCCAAGUGCAUUCAUCAUGGCUUGUUCUCAGGGCCCUCCCUUCCUUUCUGUUUGUCACCCCCUCACUCUCCUGCUCUUUAGUGUGCCUAGAACUCUGUUUCAUACUUCAGCAUUACUUGAAGGAUGUCCUUUAAAAAAAAAGCAGAGUUUUUUUUUAUGCACCACCAGCUUUCUUUAGAGAAGACAUGCUAUGGUGAACUAUUAAAUAAUAGAAACCACCUGUGCCCUGUUCUGUGUCUGCUUGGAUUUUCUUUCCAUUUACGGAGAUAUUUUUGACACAAGAAAACAAAAAACUUAACACUUAGUAGAAGUAUCGUUGAAUCAUAGGAUUCAUCAACGGACACCAACUGCACAGUAAAAAGGCAGUAUCGACAACUGGUUCCGCAAAUGUUUAAAACUUCAUAUGGGCUAUCAGUUGGGAGAAAGCAAGUUUUAAAAAUCAAAAGCCCUUAAAAAUCUUAGUUUCAUGGAGUUCCCAUCAUGGUGGAGCAGAAACAAAUCCAGCUCGGAACCAUGAGGAACUCCCCAGAGGGCACUUUUAACCCCAUCCAUAAAUUCGAAGGCAGAGCUUAGGGAGUCUGAUAUAUUGGAGAACACGUGAGAGAGAAAUAUGGGCCAUGGAAGAGCUGGACCUCGUCACUAGCCCUAACCGCUUACCAGCCACGUACCAUGGACAUGUUACUCAGUUUCUCCAUUGCUCACCAGCAUAAAGGCAAUGAUAAAAGCCCCCCUACCUAAAAUGUAAGGUUUAUGUGAAGCGCUAAUAAAAUAGCGUGUAAGAAGAGCCAACUUAAAUAUUACAGAGGUUAACAAUAUGAGUCUGAGGUCUGAUGGAUCUGGCUUUCAUCCUGGCUCUGCUACUUACCACUGGCGUGAACGUGAAUGAGUUACGAACACUCUCUGAAUCUCUGUUUCCUGAAUAACAGGAGUAAAACCACAAGAAAAGCCAUCGACCAUCUCUGCUCACCCUCGCCACCCAACAUGCAAAAUUCUCCAAGACUUGGAGACGGCCAAAAGGAAAACAAAACAGAAACAAAGAAACCCACAUAAAGCCAGAGAAACUCGGAUCCACAACUGAGAAAACCAACAAAGCCAAUCCGAAGAAAUGGCACCCAGCUAUGGAAACUCCUUGCAGGGCCCAAAGUGUUUAAAGAGUCGGCCACAGAAUGCACCAGCACAGAGCGAAACGCACUGUUGCAGCUGCUCGGGCCUCAGUCUUAAAAAGGUGAUUGGUGAGGAAGGGCCGAACAUGUGAAUCUCUAACCGUCCGUCCAUGUUCCUCUCCAAUCUGCCUCCCUCCAGUUCUGCUGUCUCAUGACCUGGCCUCACUUACUCAGCACCACUCCCAGGCCAGCACCUCCAAGGCUCAAGUGCAAAUAAAGUAAAAAGCUAUGCAUAAUCAGUCUUUAUAUAGCAAAAUGGAAAAUGUCUCUCUUUGAAGAAUCACAAAGCUUUCUGUCUGAAACCUCUGACCUUUCUAGAGAAAUCAGAGUCACUGCAGUCGAAAAAUGUAGGUGGUAAAAGUACAAAGGAUUACAUUUAUCCAUUCUGCAUGUUUGCCUUCUUUUCUGAGAUGAGGGGCAAAUACCUUCAGAACAAUUAGUUCUUCAAUCUUAACAUUUCAGGCUGCAAUAUCCUCGUUCUCCAAAAACUGUACACAUCCUGGACUCAGUGAGAUGGCACUUUUCUGUUAAUUUCUUCCCCCACUUUCUGUGACAGAAAAUCUAAAAUAUACGAUUCCAGAAGCUUUUUAAAAAAUAAGACGUUGUACAGCAAAUGAGCCAAGAAAAGAAUAAAAACUCAUUUGAAUCUUUUUAAAAACCACCAUAAUCUUCGGUUGGGUCAGGAGGGUAAAGGACUUCCAAAAGAACAUUUAAAAGGAAAAAAGGCAUUCUUCAUAAAAGUCCUUGUCACAUAUUAAGAGGCCAUACAAUAAAAGUAUUGCAAUGAUUAUCUUUCCCUGACAGGAACGUACAACAAUAGUUACGCUGUUGAACAGCAUCAAAUUACAAAGACUUCAUUCUCAGAAGUUACUUGAAACUACUCUCCCUAAGAGAACCUCCACCAUUUAAAAGAGGGGAGAAAAAGCCAACUAAAUGAAUCAAGCCAGAAACUUUAGUAACUCAGUAAUUUUUAUAUAAAAUGCAUCCGUGCAAAAAUCUUUGCCACAGCCACACAAAGAUGCAAGCAAGCUUUUGUCAAGUUCUUAUCCAAAAUCCUUGCUUCAUCUUAAUUGUUUGCAACCCACUUAUCUUUUAACUUCCAAUUAUUUAAUGCUAAAAAUAUAUUUUCAGAUAUACACCAUUUUCCGCCAAUUGCAUUGUGAACAGCUAACAUUAUUUACGAAUUAUAUUCAGCAUAAAAGAUGUUGACAAUUUUCCUUGUUAUCUGCUAUCAUAU